Molecule: ribosomal RNA, 232 nt
Filed under: uncultured bacterium
Lineage: Bacteria
Description: partial 16S ribosomal RNA
Rfam family: Bacterial small subunit ribosomal RNA
Source: RNAcentral
UGAGGAACAUGACCUUCGGCGGGGGAUAGCCGGCCCAACGGCCGGGUAAUACCGCGUACGACCACAUGGGGACAUCCCUGAGUGGUGAAAGCAGCAAUGCGCCGAUGGAGUGCCUCGCGGCCUAUCAGCUAGUUGGUGAGGUAACGGCUCACCAAGGCGACGACGGGUAGCUGGUCUGAGAGGAUGGCCGGCCACAUUGGGACUGAGACACGGCCCAGACUCCGUAGGGAGG